Molecule: long non-coding RNA, 2025 nt
Organism: Herpailurus yagouaroundi (jaguarundi)
Lineage: Eukaryota; Metazoa; Chordata; Mammalia; Carnivora; Felidae
Exons: 2
Source: RefSeq, a predicted model, not a curated record
AAGAAUAGGUAGGGAUUUUCCCAGUCAGAGGGAGGCAUUCCAGGGGAUUGAAUAUGAUGUGGCAAGACACAGAGCUGAGAAAGGUCUUAGCUUUAAUGGCUUGUGACCCACGAAGGGUAAAUGGGACCCUACCAGGAGCUGUGGUCCAGAAUCCCCAUCUGGCGCAGCCCAGCUCCCACAGUGCCUGAAAGGGGCUUUCUAACCACACUGUAGACCUAUCAUUUCAGCAUUAGCCAAGAUGCUUAUUUUCCCCUGCAAUCAAAGACGGAGUGGAGGCCAGCAGAGCAGAAUCCUAGCUCCUUCGAGCCAAGAAAGACUGACUUAUUAGUCUUUUGUCAUCAGACAGUUCAACAAUCAAUGGGCACCAAGCUGACAUUUGGCCGAGUGACAUCAGCAGAGCUGUUGAACCUCAGAUAGGCAGCAUUUCAAUAGCCCGUGGUCACUAGGAAGAAUUGCUACUGGGCACAGCAAAAGCAAAAACAGUGUCAUUCAAAGACAAAAAAGAACCUCAACUCUGCCAGACUGGGGGGAGCAAACCCAUUCAUCACCAGGAUGGUCCUACAAUGACCCAAUUUACAAAUGGGGUGGAAAUGCUCAUUCACAGUCUGUUCCCGGUAGAGCAUUCACGACACAUGGUCUACAUUUAUCAGGGCAAAGAAUGCUUGUCCAGCCUUGCCCUUUUAAAGACUGGCCCGUCCUCAAAGACAGAAAUCUUUUCCUGACUUCUGAGUGCGUUUGUCAUGAAAUGAAUAAAACAGAAGGGAAGAAUAAACCAGGAAAGACAGGCUUGAAAGUGCCAAGUUAUUGUCAUUACCAGAAAACAGGGAGGGCGUGUUGAAGACGGAAGCGCAACAAAAAAUCCUACCCCGACUGACUGCAAAUCGCUCUUUUAGCUUCCAUUAAGUAAUGGCCAUAUUGCUCAAUGAAUGAGGACAGCAAUUACGUGCCUUCUCAUCCUGUCAUCCUAACACCUCAUGGCUGUGGCACACCCUGGCUCUGGGCCAGCAUCACUUUUUCAUUUGAUCACACAGCACGCGGAGAAGAAGGUGGCUCUCGCGGUCCUCAGGCCACAGGGCUCUCCGGUCGGUCUCGCAGACCUUCCUGAGCAAGCACGGACUGAGAACUUGGCAAACUGGAUGGGGAAGUGUCAAGGGCAUACUCUCCAAAUUGCUCUGCUCAGAGCAGAGUACAGCCUCUCCUGGACUCACACGAGAUCUUAAGAGAUGGCAGAUGUACGGAUGUUUGGUGCCCUUUUCCUGUGCAAGUAGACUUCCUGGAGGUCCUUAGGUUGCUGGGCUUGUGAACGGCUGAGCCUGCCUGGCUGGAGGGCUUUGGGGGCUAUAAACCGGAGGGACGCAGAACGGGAUAGAGGAGAGGCUGUUACACCUGCCUCACCGUGCCACGCGGCUCUUACCUCUACUAGCAGAGAUUUAACUUGGGUCCGCUUCAGAGAGCCCCAAGGACACUUGAUUGGAAAUCCCCACACCUCAAGGCUGCCUCCUGGGUUGUUUCUGGGAAAAAAUACCCUGAUGUCCUUUAGAAGCUCAGUUGAGAUGGCUGGCUAGGAAGUAGACAUUCCCUCCCUGGGCUGGGGGCGGGGCGGGGGGGGGGGGGAAGAGCAAGGAAGGCAAGACUGACCGAAAGCUUUUCUCUGAAGGGUUGGAGGGACACUCAUCCCAGGCAAACCAAUAGAUUGGGGCUCUCAGGAUGACCUCCCCACCUCUGCCCUGCUUUCAGCUGCCCUUCAAGCCCUGGGUCAUGUCUUGAGAGUUAGCACUGUCCCUGACAGGGCAGGGGUGGGGACUACCUGGAAGGGGAAUUUGAGUCAUGAGAAGUGUACUGGGUGCUCUAGUUCGUGGGUGGUCUCCAAACCUUUUUGGCUACAUAUGCCAUGAGUGAAAACUGUUUGAUGAUGCGUGCUCAAAAGAUGUAGUUUCAUUUAUAAAUUAUUUACAUGUACUGUCAUCUAUCACGUAUUUAAUAUUGGUAAACUUGCUUCCAGAUAAAAAAUAAGUAUAAAUAGAA